This 484-nucleotide ribosomal RNA is filed under the name uncultured bacterium. Its description in RNAcentral is "partial 16S ribosomal RNA". It matches the Rfam family "Bacterial small subunit ribosomal RNA", at positions 28 to 523 of the family's 1533-position model. The record is from RNAcentral.
GGUGAACGCUGGCGGCGUGCUUAACACAUGCAAGUCGAACGAGAACGGAUUAUAGCUUGCUAUAAUUGUCAGCUAAGUGGCGCACGGGUGAGUAAUGUAUAGGUAAUAUGCCUCUUACUAAGGGAUAACAAAUGGAAACGUUCGCUAAUACCUUAUACUCCUUAUUAACAGAAGUUAAUAAGGGAAAGAUUUAUUGGUAAGAGAUUAGCCUGUAUUGUAUCAGUUAGUUGGUGGGGUAAUUGCUUACCAAGACUAUGACACAUAACUGGUUUGAGAGGAUGAUCAGUCACACUGGAACUGAGACACGGUCCAGACUCCUACGGGAGGCAGCAGUGGGGAAUAUUGCACAAUGGACGAAAGUCUGAUGCAGCAACGCCGCGUGGAGGAUGACACAUUUCGGUGCGUAAACUCCUUUUAUAUGAGAAGAUAAUGACGGUAUUAUAUGAAUAAGCACCGGCUAACUCCGUGCCAGCCGCCGCAGUAA